Molecule: unclassified non-coding RNA, 352 nt
Filed under: Hevea brasiliensis (rubber tree)
Lineage: Eukaryota; Viridiplantae; Streptophyta; Magnoliopsida; Malpighiales; Euphorbiaceae
Source: RNAcentral
CUGGAACUAAGAUACAUAUGCUAUAGUAGGAGAGUGAACCCAAACAAGAUGACCUGCAGGCAGGAAAUGGCAGAAAGGAGAGCCAGGCUUGACAGGAAGCAAGCGAAAAGCAAUAAGAUCAGGGCCCAUCCGUGAAGUGUCCAUAUGGCAAACAGCAAUCGCUUCCACUUGAUCUCCAUUUUCACCAGCUAGUGAUAUCUUGAAUACCUUUGCAAGUUGAUCAUCAAAAUGGCAAUAGAAAGAAUGAUACAUAGGAUGACAAAAUACCUUACCAGAACCUCCAAUCUCCUGCAGAUUUUCUGUGAUAAUAUAGUCUUGUAAUAAGGCAGUUGAUAAUGAAAGGUAGUGGGUG